Long non-coding RNA from Lepus europaeus (European hare), 1888 nucleotides. RefSeq lists it as uncharacterized. The record is from RefSeq and is a predicted model, not a curated record. The transcript is spliced from 4 exons. Lineage: Eukaryota; Metazoa; Chordata; Mammalia; Lagomorpha; Leporidae.
UCUUAUAUUUAAGUGAAGAGUUGGAUGCGAAUUAUAACCGGGCUCCGGGGUCUUGAGUGCCAGGAGUUUCUGGUCCUGACAGGUGGAUGGUGGUGUUUCUACUGGAGCUGAGACUGUUCAUAAGGACCAAAACAAGGGAGGAGUGGCGAAAGAGCAGUAACAAUCUCACCUGGACUUAGAAAAAAACAAAGGUAAGGACUCUGGCCCUGGAGGCUGCUUUUGGUGCCUAGGAGGCCCUCGCCUGGGCUAAGCCAGAGAAGGAGAGAGGAGGAAGAUGUUUCCUCCAAGGAAUGCAUUUUCAGGACUAAGCCCGAACAGUCCGUGUCAGUAAUUUUGUAAGAACUUUUGGAGGUGUGAGCUCAAAUAGGUGAGUUCUCAGAGCAACAAAGUGCCCUUAAACAAGAGUGGGGGCCCCGGCGCAGGGUCGGGCCCUGGCUGCUCCACUUUCGAUCCGGCUCUCUGCAAAUGUGCCGGGGAAAGCAGUGAAGGAGGGCCCAAGUGCCCCGGCCCCUGCCAGUCACGUGGGAGAGCCAAUGGCUCCUGGCUGUAGACCGGCCCAGUUCCGGGCCUUGUGGACAUUUAGGGAGUGAACCAGUGGAUGAAGAUUUCUCUCUGCCUUUCAAAUAAAUCUUAAUUUUCUUUUAAAGACUCAGAGACAUUGAACAUUUUUCCCAAAAUCUCAAAGUUACUAAGACCGAGAGAAGCAGGAGGAACCAACACUUAACAAGCACCAAUCAAUGUGCAAGUUUUUUUUUUUUUUUUUCCAUGCAUUUUCUCUAUUGAGUCUUAUGUUGUCUCUUACGGGGAAGGUAUUACCAUUCCCAUUUUCCUGAUGAAAAAACUGACUCGUACAGGGGUGGAUGAACUUGUCCGGGAUCUCAACGCUAGUAAGCAGCGGAUCCUGGAAUUCUGAGGUCUCUCUCUGCAGUCCCUAACUCCUCCUCGCCCACUGGACGGCAGACUGCCCUGGGUUGUGACCCAGCGGGACUCUUGGAAUCCAGCUCCUGGACCUUUCAUGUUCCUGUGUCACAGCCUGCAGGAGACUGUCACCCACUGGAGCGGGGACCAGGACGUGCUGGCUGAUGGCACAGGCCAGUUUCUAAAGGGCUCAGAAAAGGUGGAUGGAUUUGGCAGACUGAAUGAGAUGACACGUGGCAUGUGCUGACGGACAGACGCCGAGAUGUGCCUCGCUCGUUGACUCCAUCCUUGUGUGAACACGAUGGAGGGCCCUCGCACGAACUGAAGUGGCUACGACAUCAGGACAUCAGCGGGCGGCAUCAUCUCACUAUGGCCCGGCAUUAACGGCAACACCUGUACUACUGAUGCUUCUCCAGGCAGAGAAAACCGGAGAUCUGGUUUCCGUGCACAGACGCAAAGCGAUUUCCCUCAAGCAGCAAUCUGAUCACUUCCCCUGCCACGGGGGUUUGUGGCCAAAACAGAAUCUCUGAUGUUGAAGUCCCCCCCCAGCUAACGGAAGGCCGGCAGAAUCCGCAAAAGGUUAUCACUCGCUCAAUCGCAAAGAACACUCAAGGAUGCGUGACCAAGUGAUCUGAUGUUAUUCUUCCUGAGAAGGAGAUGCCCAGUAGAUUAAUGAAGGAAUUGGAAGAACCAGGUAUUUUAAUGCUGGAAUUGAAGCUCUCAAUCCUUUGGAUGCGCCCCUCUGUGCUAAUGACAUUCCAUUGGACAAAGUAUUGGGUUGAGGUCCCUCAAGUUGCAUGUAAAUAUGUAAAAAACUGUCUAGCUGCCAAAUUGAAAUGCUAUGAAUUACUAAGGCGUAUUCCACCCUGCAUGUUCUGGCUCCAUUUGUUCUAAAGAGCGACGUGUCACCAUCGGUAAAACUCUUCCAACUUUAUAUGAGAACUCGUAUUCCCUGAGAGCUGUUGUUACA